AGUGAACGCUGGCGGUAGGCCUAACACAUGCAAGUCGAACGGCAGCACAGUAAGAGCUUGCUCUUACGGGUGGCGAGUGGCGGACGGGUGAGGAAUACAUCGGAAUCUACUUUUUCGUGGGGGAUAACGUAGGGAAACUUACGCUAAUACCGCAUACGACCUACGGGUGAAAGCAGGGGAUCUUCGGACCUUGCGCGAUUGAAUGAGCCGAUGUCGGAUUAGCUAGUUGGCGGGGUAAAGGCCCACCAAGGCGACGAUCCGUAGCUGGUCUGAGAGGAUGAUCAGCCACACUGGAACUGAGACACGGUCCAGACUCCUACGGGAGGCAGCAGUGGGGAAUAUUGGACAAUGGGCGCAAGCCUGAUCCAGCCAUACCGCGUGGGUGAAGAAGGCCUUCGGGUUGUAAAGCCCUUUUGUUGGGAAAGAAAAGCAGCAGGUUAAUACCCCGCUGUCCUGACGGUACCCAAAGAUUAAGCACCGGCUAACUUCGUG
RNAcentral lists this ribosomal RNA (492 nucleotides) under uncultured bacterium. RNAcentral describes it as "partial 16S ribosomal RNA". It matches the Rfam family "Bacterial small subunit ribosomal RNA", at positions 29 to 507 of the family's 1533-position model. The record is from RNAcentral.